RNAcentral lists this ribosomal RNA (492 nucleotides) under uncultured bacterium. RNAcentral's name for it is "partial 16S ribosomal RNA". It matches the Rfam family "Bacterial small subunit ribosomal RNA", at positions 29 to 507 of the family's 1533-position model. The record is from RNAcentral.
AGUGAACGCUGGCGGUAGGCCUAACACAUGCCAGUCGAACGGCAGCACAGUAAGAGCUUGCUCUUACGGGUGGCGAGUGGCGGACGGGUGAGGAAUACAUCGGAAUCUACUUUUUCGUGGGGGAUAACGUAGGUAAACUUACGCUAAUACCGCAUACGACCUACGGGUGAAAGCAGGGGAUCUUCGGACCUUGCGCGAUUGAAUGAGCCGAUGUCGGAUUAGCUAGUUGGCGGGGUAAAGGCCCACCAAGGCGACGAUCCGUAGCUGGUCUGAGAGGAUGAUCAGCGACACUGGAACUGAGACACGGUCCAGACUCCUACGGGAGGCAGCAGUGGGGAAUAUUGGACAAUGGGCGCAAGCCUGAUCCAGCCAUACCGCGUGGGUGAAGAAGGCCUUCGGGUUGUAAAGCCCUUUUGUUGGGAAAGAAAAGCAGCAGGUUAAUACCCCGCUGUUCUGACGGUACCCAAAGAAUAAGCACCGGCUAACUUCGUG